Molecule: long non-coding RNA, 219 nt
Organism: Perognathus longimembris pacificus (Pacific pocket mouse)
Lineage: Eukaryota; Metazoa; Chordata; Mammalia; Rodentia; Heteromyidae
Exons: 3
Source: RefSeq, a predicted model, not a curated record
CCUUGCACCCCACGGAAGGAAGCACCAUUGUCCACGGGGCAGCUCCCCGCUUCCCCAAACUGCCACCCUCCCAUGGUGGAAAUGGGAAAUAGAAAUGGCUUCAAAAGCCAGGCACUGGUGUCUCGCGCCUGUAAUCCUAACUACAAUGGAGGCUGAGAUCUGAAGAGCUCACGUUGAAGCCAGCCUAGGCAGGAAAGUCCAUGAGACUGUUACCUCCAA